RNAcentral lists this ribosomal RNA (253 nucleotides) under uncultured bacterium. RNAcentral's name for it is "partial 16S ribosomal RNA". It matches the Rfam family "Bacterial small subunit ribosomal RNA", at positions 524 to 776 of the family's 1533-position model. The record is from RNAcentral.
GACGAAGGAUGCAAGCGUUAUCCGGAUUCAUUGGGUUUAAAGGGUGCGUAGGCGGCCAGAUAAGUCAGGGGUGAAAUCUCCUUGCUUAACAAGGAAACUGCCAUUGAUACUGUUUGGCUUGAGUAUAGUUGCUGUGGGCGGAAUAUGACAUGUAGUGGUGAAAUACAUAGAGAUGUCAUAGAACACCGAUUGCGAAGGCAGCUCACAAAACUAUAACUGACGCUGAGGCACGAAAGUGCGGGGAUCAAACAGG